Physeter macrocephalus (sperm whale) is the source of this 8469-nucleotide long non-coding RNA. RefSeq lists it as uncharacterized. The transcript is spliced from 8 exons. Lineage: Eukaryota; Metazoa; Chordata; Mammalia; Artiodactyla; Physeteridae. The record is from RefSeq and is a predicted model, not a curated record.
CACUCUGUGCCAGAAUGUCACCCUGUUUUGAAUUUUUUAUCUGGUAAAUUGUUUAUUUCUGUUUCAUUAUUUAUUUUUUCAGGGGUGUUCUCUUGUUCUUUCAAUUGUGAGUAGUUCCUCUUUCUUUUCAUUUUACUUAACUUUCUCUGUCUAUGAAUUUAGGUAAACUGUUACCUAUUGUGGUCUUAAAGAGGUGUUCUCAUGUGGGAGCCUCCCUAUGCAGAGCGCGUGUGCCCAGUGCCUUUGGUGGGAAGGCUGGAAGUUAUGUGGAUGCCAAUCAUGUCUUUCCUCAGGUUGUGCUGGCUGCUGUCACCUUGGUAGGGAGUGUGGCUGGUGAUGGAGGAACUAGAGCCUGUGCACAGUUUGAGCCUUGAGUUUGACUUCUGGAUCCAUGGCUUGAGUGGCUUCAUUUGGGACCUAUCCAUGCUUUUGGCUCCAAGAGUACAUCUAAGCGGCAGAAGCAGGAUCAAGGAAAGCAAACAUCAGUCGUCCCGAGAACAAUUCAGAAUCCAACUAGAGGACCUUAAGGUUGAAUGACCCACCCAUCAAAGAUAUUCCUGUCUGGAAGUCUUGGCUCAGAUCUCUAAUGGAGGUGGGAGGCAUGCCCAGCCCUGGUUCAUCUCUCAAGGAGUCUUCAGUGCCUAAUCUGGGAUCUAUGUGUCAGAGAUGUGAACAGACAGCAAAAUGGACUCUACUAUGUGUCAAAGCUUGACGGAUGAAGACAAGUACAGGAGAAGUUCAUUCACUCUUAAAUAACUGCCCUUCUUGUUGGAAUAAUGGGCCCUCCUGCAGGAGAUGGGAAUUUAGUUCUCAGUUAAGACAGCAGAAAUUCCCUUUCAGGAGAUGUCAGGUAGAGUGGUGAGAUGGAAGAUUCCACAACCCAUCAGCUUUCAAAGGGAUUCUGGAGAGCUCUCUUGGCAUUAUGGAUGGACAAGAACCAGGAUGAAGUUGGUAAGAGUUCUGGAGACAUCCCUAUUCAUUUCAUGAGGUCGAGAACAGGAUGGCAUUGGUACAUGGGAUUUCUGCUAAUGAUUUUCUUUUCUCCCCAUCACUAUCCCUGUCCCCCCACCCUGUGCCUCUCAGGUUUGAAAAAUAAUGUAGCCGUCUUAGAUGAAGAAAUUAGUUAUCCCAAUAUAAGCUUCUGUAUGGGAGGGCUUACCUAGAACCUUUAAAGGUAAAUUUCUAAGAGAGGAUGGAAAAAUAUAGUGGAAGAGUUAUGAUUGAAAUAAGAAACCGUCAAAGGAAAAAGAAACUGUCAAAGUUUAAUUAAAAGAGUUGACACCAGUGGCUGGUCUUAAUCUACAAACAAGUAGGCAACUAUACAACGUUUUUCCCUACUAGGUCAACUUCCACUUUAAUACUGAGAGGACAGAACAACCCUACUAUUAAUACAUAAUUAAUAUUCAACUGCUUUGGUUCAACAAAGGGAAGAACUAAAGAGGAACCAAAGUUAUGGAAAAACUCAAACCACCAUGCCAGAGUCUCUUAGAACCCAAACUAAUUCUCAAAAAAUGCUUAGUCUGAAAAAACUUCACCCAGUUCAACCAUGAGCUAAUUAAUGUACCAAAUAUUAACCUGCUAUACUAUACACCAGCCAUUAUUCUAGAUGCUAGAGGCAGAGGAGUAAACAAAACAGAAAAGAUCUGGCUCUCUUGUAGUUUACAUUCUUCUGGGGGAGAUAAACAAAAAACCAGUAAACUAACUACUUUCAGAUGUUAUAAGAACUAAAAAGAAACUAAAAUAGGCUGAUGAGAUGAAGAAUGCCCAGAGAGGCCAGGAUAGACGGGGGUGGCCCUUCUGAGGAUGUGACAUUUGAGCUAAGGCCUGCCAUGGAGAGGAGGAAGAAAAGUGCUUCAGUCAGAGGGCCGGCAGGUGCAAAGGCCCUGAGGUGGAAAUGAGCUUCAAGUUAAAAAACCAAGGCUUUUAUGUGCGUGGGGCACAGUGAGCAUGGAGGAGAACCCUACGAAACGUAGCCUGAGUGACCAGCAGGGGCCAGGUCAUAAAGAGCCUUGUAGGCCAGAAGGCGUUCAGAUUUUAUCCAAGGCACAAUGAGAGACAUUUGGCUGGAUUUAUGAGUAAUGUGAACUUGAGAGAAUUUUUUAUUUUGACUUUAGCACUAGAAAUGAGCUAUAUUUUCCUUGACUGUGUGGUAUAGUUCUAUGUCACCAACUUGUGAUAAGUUUUACCUUCCAAGUUUGGAUUAAAGGUGCAGUUACUAUCCACAUAUACGUUACAGGGAUGGGACCCAUUAUGCAGAUAGUAUACUAUGCAAAUACUAUAGCAUUUUGUGUACUAACUUAAAUUCCAUCUUCAUUUCAUUGUUUUACUUCCAGUUGUCUUUUGCCUGAAUUUCUUUACCUCCUGUUAAAGUACUGAAUGUAUGCAUUUGUCAGUUGCCUCAAGUCCUUUCAUCAGUGGGUUUUAAAUAAACACAUUUAAAUGCAGGCCUGGCAAGAGAGAAUCUCUCAUAUUCUUGAGUCUCCUUCUAGAUGUUGACAAUCCGAAACUAAAAUAGCCAGGUAACCCUGAGGAUUCAGUGACUUUAUCUUCAUAUGAAGGUGACAAUUUCACACUUUCCCAGUGGACAUUUUAAAAGACCACAGAAUUAGAAGUAAAAUUCUUGUAACACAGUAAACAUUAAAAAAUAAAGUUUCAUGGUGAAAUUUCUUGAGCUUCUGUCAUAGUCAGGGGAGAGCCUCAUACACUCUGUAAGGUUUUUUAUUUAGGCAUGACCAGGUUUAACUUUUUUCUGUGCCAUCGUGUUCACAGACAAUCCUGUAGGACUCAUUUCCAUGGCUUCCUGCAGAGAAUACUUAGAAUCACUAGCUCUGAAAUGCCAAAUGUCUGUCAGGCAAAACACCUUUUUAGAUUUUGUGAGAUAUGUAAUUAUAUUCCGUAUGACAUGCUCCAUUGUGUGUUUGAAAAGAGACAAGUAUUUACUACACUCGACAGGUGGGUCAGACUACCUCACAAAGAAAGCUGAAUCUGCCAGGUCACCAGGCAGAGUUUCCAAGGGUGGCAAGUCCCAUUUGCUCCUUCCUUUUCUUCCCACUCUAGCUUACCCUUUAGAAAAAUACAAAAAAGUACAAGUUACCCCAAGGACACUGGGCAAAUAUUUAACAGCUCGAUGGAGCUGUCUGAUCCUGAUUUAAAAAGAAAAAAAAAAAAAAAAAGAUGCUAAAUAGAGUCCCUCUUUUUUUUUUUUUUUUUUUUUUGUGGUACGCGGGCCUCUCACUGUUGUGGCCUCUCCCGUUGCGGAGCACAGGCCCCGAACGCGCAGGCUCAGCGGCCAUGGCUCACGGGCCCAGCCGCUCCGCGGCAUGUGGGAUCCUCCCGGACCGGGGCACGAACCCGUGUCCCCUGCAUCGGCAGGUGGACUCUCAACCACUGCGCCACCAGAGAAGCCCGAGUCCCUCUUUUUAAAUUAUUUUAUUUCGCUUAUUUUUGGCUGUGUUGGGUCUUUGUUGCUGUGUGCGGGCUUCCUCUAGUUGCGGCGAGCGGGGGCUACUCUUCGUUGCAGUGCGCGGGCUUCUCAUUGCAGAGCGGCUUCUCUUGUUGCGGAGCACAGGCUCUAGGCGUGCGGGCUUCAGUAGUUGUGGCACGUGGGCUCAGUAGUUGUGGCUCGCGGGCUCUAGAGCACAGGCUCAGUAGUUGUGGAGAAUGGGCUUGGUUGCUCCGUGGCAUGUGGGAUCUUCCUGGACCAGGGCUUGAACCCAUGUCCCCUGUGUUGGCAGGCGUUAACCACUGCGCCACCAGGGAAGUCCCUUGAGUCCCUCUUAUAAAACAGUGUUAACAUUUCAAGAAAUCUAAAAUGUUUCACAGGGCACAGUGCCUUAGAGGGGAUGCCAAGUCUCAAAACCACCAGACUCAGCCUUGUCUUCAGUAACUAAGGAAGGAAACUCUCCUUACCACUCUCCCUGUUGGCUGUGGAUCUCAGCUUUGGCAUCCCAGCCUGGAACAGUCCUCCCAAACCGGGUGGUCCACCCCCUCCAAAACUCCCACCGCCGCCUCCGCCACCACCACCAGCUCCUUUAGGUUCUGCAGAAGGAAGAAAACACAGCCUUUACACAUGUAUGAAGACACCACCAGAGAACUUCACCAGUCCUCGCCCAAGUAAACAAUCACGAUACAACAGAGAGCUGGCAGAACCUAAGCCCAUGGUGAACACCUGGAAUUUCAUUAAAGGGUAGGACUUUCAGGAUUCACCCUAUCCCCCAUCAGAAAAGCAGAAGGUUCUUUCUACUCCAGGGCAGUCGCAAGCCCAGUGGUAGAAGAAUCAGUAAUAGAUAAUGACUUUCCCCCACUUGGCUGGCUGCCACAUGAGUUAAUAUCUAUUGUGUAUCAUAGGAUUUGGUAAAUAAAAGUAUCUUCAAAGAAAGAAAGUCUUAAGGGAGGAGGAGAUGCAAUAAAAGGUGAGAAGAAAGGAAACAGUAAAAAUAAAGGAGAAGAAAAUAAAAUAUCCCAUAAUUUUGCUUCAUUGAAAUACCAACUUUUUUGGUGUAUUUUUCCCUGCCAGGGUUUUUUUUUUUUUUUUUUUUUUUUCAUUUUACAUAUUUUUUCUCACGACCAAAUUCACUACAUAGUUUUUAGCUUGCUUUUUUCAGUCAAUACUUUAUUGUUAGCAUUUCCCAUGUCACUAAAUGUGUUUUGAAAACAUGAGUUUAAAGGAUUGCAUUGUGUUUUAGAACACUGAAUGUACUGUAAUUUAUUUAUCCAUCUACCUAUUUGAUGGCCUUCCAGGUUGAUUUCAAUUUUUUAAUAUCAUAAAACCCAACAGUAGACUUUAAUAUUUUAAAAAUUCUUUGCAACUUGAGACGAUGCAAAGAUUUUAUUUUGCAUUUGUUGCCAAAAAACUGUGAAAGAUUUCAAAAUAGGCAAACAAGAAAACAAGAAAAGAAAGGAAGAAGAAGAAAGAAAAAGAUUACUAAGUAUCCAGUCUAGCCUUCUGGGUUAUUUCCCAUUGCCUUUGAGCUAGUCUGCAACUCUAUUAAAUUGUACAAAACUGAUAAUAAUGCAAAUGAUAUUUGUCCAUAGAAAUGCAUAUUGGUUGUGUUCAGUGUAAUGCAAUUGAUUGACCCGUUUUGCACCUAUUUAUAAAUUCAUUUCAACACUCACCUGCCUACAUAUGUGUGGUACUUUGAAUUCUCCUUUGAAUUGAUAACAUUAUAUUCGUUCCCUCAUUAAUUAAUGAGCUAAAUAAAAUCUUUGAUAUAUGUUUAUUUUAUAUCUGUAUUAGAGCCAUGAUUAUACCCUCUUUAAAAAAUUGUCUCUUAACAAUUUAUGUAUGUAUAUAUGUUUUAUGAGGUUAAGGUACUGUUUAAAGUUCUACCCCUGGAAAACCUUGUUGAGUCUUUGGUAAGUAUUACAUGAGAUCUACAAAUUAAUCUGGGAGAAGUUGAGUCUUUGGUAAGUAUUACAUGAGAUCUACAAAUUAAUCUGGGAGAACUGACACUUUCUUGAUAUUUAGACUUUAUGGAAACAUGGUAUAUUUUCCCAUCUCUUCUGAUUUAUUCACUAAAGUUUUGUAAUUUUCAUGAUAUGGGUCACCCAUAGUUCUUUUAGGGUCACUUCAAAUACAUUUUUGUUUGUUGAAAUUAUGAAAGGAAUGUUUUUCCUACUAUAUUUUGGAUUUGGUUAUUAUUGGCAUCAGGAAAUUUCAUUUGAUAUCUAAUAAAUCACUUUCCUGCAUUUUUCAGAAUUAAAAUUUAUUUUUUACCUUGGAUUUUCUAGUAGACAAAUGCUCUGCAAAUAAUAAAGGUGUAUGCCUUCUUUUCUAAGAGUUGUGUAUCUUAUUUCUGUUUUAUAUAAGAAAUUACUUUGAUGACUGAGCUUCCAUAACAGUGUAAGUUAUUAAUGUUUUAUUAAUUUAAAGACUUUUAAAAUAAUUAUAAAGAAUAUACAUUUAUAUAUUUAUCUUAAAAAUAAAUUAUUAACGUUAUUAGUAUUUUAAAAAUAAAGGAAAUCAUAUUUUGAUUUUAAUGAGAAUGCCUCUAAUGUUUCAAAGUUACAUUUUUAAAAAAAUUUAUUUAUUUAUUUUUGGCUGCAUUGGGUCUUUGUUGCUGCGCACAGGCUUUCUCUAGUUGUGGCGAGCGGGGGCUACUCUUCGUUGCGGUGCGCGGGCUUCUCAUUGGGGUGGCUUCUCUUGUUGCGGAGCACGGGCUCUAGGCACGCGGGCUCUAGAGCACAGGCUCAGUAGUUGUGGCACACGGGCUUAGUUGUUCGGCGGCAUGUGGGGUCUUCCUGGAUCAGGGCUCGAACUCGUGUCUCCUGCAUUGGCAGGCGGAUUCUUAACCACUGCACCACCAGGGAAGCCCCCAAGUUACAUACUGACUGUUGGUUUGAAAUAACUUUUUUUUCUUUCUAAGUAUUCGUGGUUAGCAAGGAUCCUUCCACUCUGGGUUUUUGAGACUCUCUUAUGGCAUGGAAUUUUAUCAAAUGCCUAUCCAGGAUCUACUGAGAUCAUUAUAUGGUUUUCCUUAUUUGAUAUGAUGGAUAUAUAGACUUUCUAACAUUAAAAAUGAGACAAACUCUGGAUUUGGUGAAUUAUUUUUUUAAUAUACUAUUGAAUUAGAGUUUUUGGAUUUUUAGUUAGUAUCCUCUCGUCUGCGAUCAUAAGUGGUCUAUAGUAGGGUUUCUUAGCCUUGGAACUACGGACAUUUUGGGUCAGAUAAUUCUUUGUUGUGGGUGACCAUCUUGUUCCCUGUAGAAUGUUUACAGCAUCCCUGGCCUCUGCCCACUAGGUGUCAGUAGGAACCCUCCCUUCACCAAGUUGUGAUAACUAAAAAUGCCUCCAGGCAUUGCCACAUGUCCCCUGAGACACUGAUACACCAGCUUUCUUUCUGUAUAUAUGCUGCCUUUGUCAUGUUUUGAUAUUAAGAUCAUGCCAAUCUCAUUAUACCUAACAGAUAGCUUUCCAUGUCUUCCUACAUUUAGGAAUGAUUUAUAUAGCAUUUGAAUUUGUUGUUUCUUAAAAUCUUAAAUAAUUUUCUGAUAAAAUCAUCUGGCUCUAAAGCUUUUUAUUUUAUUUUAUUAUUAUUUUUUUUGCGGUACGCGGGCCUCUCACUGUUGUGGCCUCUCCCGUUGCGGAGCACAGGCUCUGGACGCGCAAGCUCAGCGGCCAUGGCUCACAGGCCCAGCCACUCUGCGGAAUGUGGGAUCUUCCCGGACCGGGGCAUGAAUCCGUGUCCCCUACAUUGGCAGGCGGACUCUCAACCACUGAGCCACCAGGGAAGCCCUAAAGCUUUUUAGAGAAAAAGUGUGGAACUUUCUGGAAUACUUAUGGGAACUCUGCUGAUAGAAGAAACAAUCUGAUACUGAACUCACAAGAAUUACUUCGCCUAGUAUGAUAUAUCAAAUUAGAAUAACAAUUUCUGGAAGUGUAUGCAAAAUUGCUUCCAUAUAAAAUUGAAACGUUUUACUAAUUUUAAUUAUUGCCUAUAGUAUUAAUAAUGCCCUUGUCAUUAAAACGUUAUUUGUUGAUGAACGAUACAUUCUGGAAUACUGCAUUUCAUAGGACACCUUUACCUGGUAUUGAACAUUCAAAGAGAGCGAUGAACUUGUUCUAUCAGACAUUGUCCACUAGUGUUCUUAACUUGCAACAGUUGUACAGCUUUGCGAUAGAGAAGCUACACUAGUUGAGGAUAGCUAACUGGCUCCAGGUCACUCUGCUAACAAUUAAAUUGGAGGACAAAGCUGACCUCAAGAGUUAUGUCAUGUAUAACCAUGGUCAACAUUUUGACAUAGAACCCAGGGAGGUUUCACCUGCAAACAAAUACAAAACCAUGGAUGGACUUUGCCACUUGCAAAGAGCUUCUAACAACAGUGUUAGUGUCCAGUUAAGUGCAUGGACAACAAGGGCAUGCAUUGGGUUGCAUCUGGUGUCCACAAAGCAAAGUGCAUUCUUAAACAUCACUGAGCAGAUGGGAGGGAGAACUAACAAACACUCUUUUCCAUUUAACGAGAGAAGUGUAUCUUGAAGAAUAUAAUGAACUUCCACUAGUGGAUUCAGGACUAGGACCCAGACUGUCCAUUCUCCUUCAACAUCUAGGGAAUUCUCCAGAGCCUAGGCUCCCUCUCAUAGUGGAGAGAACCACUGGGCUCUGGUCUAGAGGUUGGCAGUUUGUGGAGUUCCUCUGGCCCCAUCCCAGGCACCACGAUUGAAUGGCUAUUGGACCAAAGCUCCCCAGAAAGAAGCGACUGGGCUGGGCAACCCCAGGGAGAACCUUGUGACACAGAUCAGGAAAACUAAGCAAUUGAUUAUACAAUAACCACACCAUUUUGUGGGCAUUUUGAACCAGAGGUAAGACUUCGUCAAAAGUCAAAGACCCUCUAGUUCCACUGAGGUGUGGUGCAUUCCAUCUGCACCACCUUGCCCGGUAAAGAGCAAAACUCAAAGGCCUUUGUCUUGGUCUUCCUCUUUUCCACCUUCCUCCCACACCAAUGUUCUCACCUAACGCUGAUCUUUCUCUU